UGAGGAAUAUUGGUCAAUGGGCGCGAGCCUGAACCAGCCAAGUAGCGUGAAGGAUGAAGGUCCUAUGGAUUGUAAACUUCUUUUAUAGCAGAAUAAAGUGACCCACGUGUGGGUUUUUGUAUGUAUGCUAUGAAUAAGGAUCGGCUAACUCCGUGCCAGCAGCCGCGGUAAUACGGAGGAUCCGAGCGUUAUCCGGAUUUAUUGGGUUUAAAGGUGCGUAGGCGGAAAGAUAAGUCAGCCUGUGAAAGUUUGCGGCUCAACCGUAAAAUUGCAGUUGAUACUGUUUUUCUUGAGUGUACAUAAGGUAGGCGGAAUUCGUAGUGUAGCGGUGAAAUGCUUAGAUAUCACGAAGAACUCCGAUUGCGAAGGCAGCUUACCGGGGUACAACUGACGCUGAUGCACGAAAGUGUGGGUAUCAAACA
This 422-nucleotide ribosomal RNA is filed under the name uncultured bacterium. RNAcentral's name for it is "bacterial SSU rRNA". It matches the Rfam family "Bacterial small subunit ribosomal RNA", at positions 355 to 774 of the family's 1533-position model. The record is from RNAcentral.